UACGUAGGGGGCAAGCGUUGUCCGGAAUCAUUGGGCGUAAAGAGCGCGUAGGCGGCCCUGUAAGUCCGCUGUGAAAGUCAAGGGCUCAACCCUGGGAUGCCGGUCGAUACUGCCGGACUAGAGUUCGGAAGAGGCGAGUGGAAUUCCCGGUGUAGCGGUGAAAUGCGCAGAUAUCGGGAGGAACACCUAUGGCGAAGGCAGCUCGCUGGGACGUUACUGACGCUGAGACGCGAAAGCGUGGGGAGCAAACAGG
This 253-nucleotide ribosomal RNA is filed under the name uncultured bacterium. RNAcentral describes it as "partial 16S ribosomal RNA". It matches the Rfam family "Bacterial small subunit ribosomal RNA", at positions 524 to 776 of the family's 1533-position model. The record is from RNAcentral.